RNAcentral lists this long non-coding RNA (272 nucleotides) under Malus domestica (apple). RNAcentral's name for it is "long non-coding RNA (MDOM_LNC000116)". Lineage: Eukaryota; Viridiplantae; Streptophyta; Magnoliopsida; Rosales; Rosaceae. The record is from RNAcentral.
AAAAACGAUGUUUCAGUCAUUAAUUUUACACGAGAAUCAUUCCUAUUCGACCCUAGGUAUUUUCCUAGGUUUAAUUCAUAACUUUUGGACUCAAAUCCGAGAUUCUAACUCCUGUAGUCCUUUUGUUCUUCACCUAAAUUUCCGAUGUGGAGCUCCGCAAGGAACUCGAUAAUUUUAAGGUCGCUUGUGAAGGAAAAAUUUGUGAAAACAUGUUCAUUUAAGCAACAUCAUAUAGCAUGCAAUUAACAAUUAAAGGCGGAAUCAUGCUAGCA